GGGCAAUUAGCUCAGUUGGUUCAGAGCACUGCUUUCACACGGCAGGGGUCGCAGGUUCAACUCCUGCAUUGCCCA
This 75-nucleotide transfer RNA is filed under the name Bacteroidota bacterium. RNAcentral's name for it is "Bacteroidetes bacterium (groundwater metagenome) tRNA-Val". It matches the Rfam family "tRNA". From Rfam's summary of the family: Transfer RNA (tRNA) molecules are approximately 80 nucleotides in length. Lineage: Bacteria; Pseudomonadati; Bacteroidota. The record is from RNAcentral.